Chlorocebus sabaeus (green monkey) is the source of this 1754-nucleotide non-coding RNA. Lineage: Eukaryota; Metazoa; Chordata; Mammalia; Primates; Cercopithecidae. The record is from RefSeq and is a predicted model, not a curated record.
GGCCUCACAAAGGGCUGCGAUUACAUUACAGGCAUAAGCCAGCGUGCCCAACCAACCUUUUUCUUAAUUCUAUAACAAUUACGCCGCAUUCAGAGGAAGGAUAACUAUUAGUGAGAAGAAACUUGGCGAAGCAAUAUGUUGAUACGAAAACAAAAUGGUAACAAUUCCUCAUUGUGACAUUUGAGUUUGAAACUGUUAACAUACCAAGCAAAAAUGAUAGCUCAAAUCAGGUUUUACAAAGAAGUCCAAUAGAUGAUGAUUCCAAUUGUAUGUUUGUUUCUAGAUCUGAGAAAGUCAGUCAUAGCCAACUUCUACAGUUUUGUUGCCAUAGACCCAAGAUUAAAUCACAAUGUGCGUGCGAACGUGCCCCAGGGUGCGGCAGGGAACCCCACGCCCACCAAGCACGCAUAUGCAGAAAUAUUUUGCCCAAAUCUAUUUUCCAACAUAGAAUUAAAGAGGUCCCAGAUAUACUUCUCUCUCUCCCCACCAAGUAUGUGAGGUCAAGUUUAUCCUAGUAUUCGAUAAAAAGGCUCAUGUGAAAAAGGGAACAGCAACGCUCAGGCGACCCACGCAGGCCCCGGCAGACGCUCUAUAGCAGAAGGGACGCGGCACAGGCAGGGCUGUGGGUGCACCUGCACCCUCGCUAACCUCAUGGUGCAAGCACCCGAGGCUCUACAGAUUCCACUCCCAGAGUUAGUGGGAAACUCCAUCCUAGCACCGGGAUGCUCUGCGUUGCUAGAUGUACCUGCUUUAAGAUAUGCAUGAACUGUCCUUACUCUACACACGAGACUCACUAGGAGAUACUUUCAGAUUUAUCGGAAAAUAGACAUUCCAGCAAAUGCAUUUCUGUAAGAUUCUCUACCUCUUUUCACUGGGUGGGGGGUGGGGGAGGGGGGAGGGGGAAAAGGUAACUUGCCUCCAAGGGUUGGAGACAAAGCCGUUACUGCAAGACAAGAGUGCUGCGCACCCCGGGAACCGCUGCGCCACGAGGCACGAGGCACGAGGCACGAGGCACGAGGCACGAGGCACGAGGCACGAGGCACGAGGCACGAGGCACGAGGCACGAGGCACGAGGCACGGCCGUGCACACCGGACGCAGGAGUAGCACACGAGGCUAGCACAGGUUGACGCCAGCCCUCUCCAGAAGCAGGCCUGUCCCUUCCUCCUCCCCCUCAGCCCCCAGCUCCCUCCAGACCUCAGUGGCUGCUGACAGGGCAGAGGCCACAACUAGAGGAGGCUCUCAACUCCACCAGGGACAGGAGCCCCGGACGCUGGGGACUCCACUGCUGCCCUCCGCGCCCACCUCCCUCUGCUCCGCCUUUCUCAGGAGCGAGGCGUGGCCACUUUGACCCUCUCUUCCCUUCUGUGGCUCCUACAAAAACCAGUGCAGCGAGCCCAGGCUGCCUCGCACGCCACGGAUGCCCGGCACAGGCCACAUGUCCUCAUCCAAGCUCCUGGGGCAAGAAGGCUCUUGCAGUAUUUCGCUUUCUGGUUGAGCAUCCCCAGCCUGAAAUCCAAAGUGCUCCGAAGAGCAUUUCCUGCGAGUGUCAUAUGAGGGAGAGCUCGGAAUGGUUCAGGUUUCAGAGCAUUUUGGAGUAGGGACGCUCAGCCUGAAUUUGAACGUCUUUUCAAGGAGGCCACACACUGAAGCCCCCGAUGUCCGCCCCACACAAUCCCAGCACACCCUCUGAAGUCCCCAGCAACAAGAUUUUCUUUCUUCAAAAAAAAUAAAAAAUAAAUAAAUAAAUAAAAAA